RNAcentral lists this ribosomal RNA (1611 nucleotides) under Salmonella enterica. Its description in RNAcentral is "partial 23S ribosomal RNA". It matches the Rfam family "Bacterial large subunit ribosomal RNA", at positions 1209 to 2802 of the family's 2925-position model. RNAcentral also lists the same sequence under 1 other name. The record is from RNAcentral. Lineage: Bacteria; Pseudomonadati; Pseudomonadota; Gammaproteobacteria; Enterobacterales; Enterobacteriaceae.
CGACACUGUGUGUUGUUGGGUAGGGGAGCGUUCUGUAAGCCUGUGAAGGUGUGUCGUGAGGCAUGCUGGAGGUAUCAGAAGUGCGAAUGCUGACAUAAGUAACGAUAAAGCGGGUGAAAAGCCCGCUCGCCGGAAGACCAAGGGUUCCUGUCCAACGUUAAUCGGGGCAGGGUGAGUCGACCCCUAAGGCGAGGCCGAAAGGCGUAGUCGAUGGGAAACGGGUUAAUAUUCCCGUACUUGGUGUUACUGCGAAGGGGGGACGGAGAAGGCUAUGUUGGCCGGGCGACGGUUGUCCCGGUUUAAGCGUGUAGGUGUGUGUUCCAGGUAAAUCCGGUUCACUUUAACACUGAGGCGUGACGACGAGGCACUACGGUGCUGAAGCAACAAAUGCCCUGCUUCCAGGAAAAGCCUCUAAGCAUCAGGUAACAUCAAAUCGUACCCCAAACCGACACAGGUGGUCAGGUAGAGAAUACCAAGGCGCUUGAGAGAACUCGGGUGAAGGAACUAGGCAAAAUGGUGCCGUAACUUCGGGAGAAGGCACGCUGACACGUAGGUGAAGUGAUUUACUCAUGGAGCUGAAGUCAGUCGAAGAUACCAGCUGGCUGCAACUGUUUAUUAAAAACACAGCACUGUGCAAACACGAAAGUGGACGUAUACGGUGUGACGCCUGCCCGGUGCCGGAAGGUUAAUUGAUGGGGUCAGCGCAAGCGAAGCUCCUGAUCGAAGCCCCGGUAAACGGCGGCCGUAACUAUAACGGUCCUAAGGUAGCGAAAUUCCUUGUCGGGUAAGUUCCGACCUGCACGAAUGGCGUAAUGAUGGCCAGGCUGUCUCCACCCGAGACUCAGUGAAAUUGAACUCGCUGUGAAGAUGCAGUGUACCCGCGGCAAGACGGAAAGACCCCGUGAACCUUUACUAUAGCUUGACACUGAACAUUGAGCCUUGAUGUGUAGGAUAGGUGGGAGGCUUUGAAGUGUGGACGCCAGUCUGCAUGGAGCCGACCUUGAAAUACCACCCUUUAAUGUUUGAUGUUCUAACGUGGACCCGUUACCCGGGUUGCGGACAGUGUCUGGUGGGUAGUUUGACUGGGGCGGUCUCCUCCUAAAGAGUAACGGAGGAGCACGAAGGUUGGCUAAUCCUGGUCGGACAUCAGGAGGUUAGUGCAAUGGCAUAAGCCAGCUUGACUGCGAGCGUGACGGCGCGAGCAGGUGCGAAAGCAGGUCAUAGUGAUCCGGUGGUUCUGAAUGGAAGGGCCAUCGCUCAACGGAUAAAAGGUACUCCGGGGAUAACAGGCUGAUACCGCCCAAGAGUUCAUAUCGACGGCGGUGUUUGGCACCUCGAUGUCGGCUCAUCACAUCCUGGGGCUGAAGUAGGUCCCAAGGGUAUGGCUGUUCGCCAUUUAAAGUGGUACGCGAGCUGGGUUUAGAACGUCGUGAGACAGUUCGGUCCCUAUCUGCCGUGGGCGCUGGAGAACUGAGGGGGGCUGCUCCUAGUACGAGAGGACCGGAGUGGACGCAUCACUGGUGUUCGGGUUGUCAUGCCAAUGGCACUGCCCGGUAGCUAAAUGCGGAAGAGAUAAGUGCUGAAAGCAUCUAAGCACGAAACUUGCCCCGA